This is a long non-coding RNA of Capsella rubella, 544 nucleotides long. RefSeq lists it as uncharacterized. The transcript has 3 exons. NCBI's taxonomy places the organism in Eukaryota, Viridiplantae, Streptophyta, Magnoliopsida, Brassicales, Brassicaceae. The record is from RefSeq and is a predicted model, not a curated record.
UCCUCCAACAUCUUCAAUUUCAGAUAUCUCAUUCAUCUCUUCUUUGUUUCUCUCGCUUCUCAAUUAUCUCUUCCUCGGAUCUUUGUUACAAGCAUUUUGAGAGAAAAAUUUUUGCUUCGACACGGGCAAUUGCUGAGGAGAAACAAUCACUAGACUGGGAAUUUCGUGAUUUAUCUGCAAGUAUCGUUGAGCAAUUGAACAAGCUUAGUGGUUUUAAGAAGUAUAAGGUCUCUGAUAUUUUGUUCUUUGGUUGACACACCACAAUCUCGUUUGAUAAGGAGAAUCUUGAUUAUUGCAAAGGUCGUUGGAUUCGUAUCGAUUCAGGUGAAUCAAAUUCUUUGGUUCGAUAUGAAAUUACCUCCUUAAUCUUUUUCUUCUUGAUUUCUUUUAUCUUAUGUAUGCAAUAGAAGCACUUUCAUUUGAUCUUGUUGCUUGCAAGAUUAGUGUUUAUCCUUAAUCUUUAGCAUGCUGGUUUAUGUUGACCACAAGUCUCCUAACGUUUUUGUUUCUCUAAUUUUUUGUGCUGAGUAAUUUUGUUUAAUCA